Molecule: long non-coding RNA, 1778 nt
Organism: Mustela putorius furo (domestic ferret)
Lineage: Eukaryota; Metazoa; Chordata; Mammalia; Carnivora; Mustelidae
Source: Ensembl
GCCGAAGGCAGCAGCCUAACCCCCUGAGCCACCCAGGCACCCCUUCAUUUCACUCUUUACAUUAUCUUGGAUUACAGCUUUCUGAGGACAGAGGGAUUCUUUUGCAUAAGGACAGCCCCAAGGAUAUACACAGAUUAAAUAUUACAAAUAUAAAUUGUAACCUAAACUUUCUACUUUUUUUUCCUCAGAGAUUUUUAAUUUAUUUAUUUGAGAAAUACAGAGAGAGAGAGAGAGCGUAUGAGCCAGGGGAGGAGCAGAGGGAGAAGCAGGCUCCUCACAGAGCGGGGAGCCUGAUGCGGGGCUCGAUCCCAGGACCCUGAGACCAUGACCUGAACCCAAGGCAGACACUUAAUGGACUGAGCCAGUAAUUCUAUUACAGUGGGUGCAUCUUUGGCGCAACACAACUCUAUUUGCUUCCAGUGUGGAUUCUAGAAGCUUAUUUCGUUUUGCUUUAUUCAGCCGCUCACAAAAACUCACGAAGCAUCAGCUAUGUGGAAGCCCAUAUAAACUGAAGAUACUGACAAAUUAAACAGCAAUUUGCCCUUUGGUAAUUUGCCUUUUAUUUUUUAGGAGUUCACAGAGCCUCUAAAAAAAGGUAAACAAGCCUCCGGAGGAUUGUGGCAAGUUGCUGAGGAAUAACGAAACAGAGGAGAAAAAUAUUUGCAAAAUCUACUUUUUUUUUUUUUUUUUACCACCACCAUAGUGGUUAUGAGUGGAUUAUGGGGCCAAGACUGCCCAGGUUUACAUUCAGGUUCUGCCCCUUAAGACUGCGAUCUUGGGCAGAGGGCACAGCCCGAGUGCACAUCGGUUUUGUCAUCUGUAAGAUGGGGACGCAACUAGUAUGCUUACUUCAUUAGCUCAUUGUGAGGAUUAAUUGAGAUAAUAGAUGUAAAACACCCGGGCCAGUGUUUGGCACCUGGUAAGGGCCAUGUAACUCUGAACGGGCAUUAUUCACAGCUUUACUGUGGACGGCCGCUCUCAAGACACCUUCAGUACUGCUGCUGCAAAGACCACGGCUUCCUCUGCAGUUAUGGCUUGUGUGAUUAUAAAUUUCCGUUAUCGUUUUUGCUGCCCACGGCUCUCACGGCUCCCACGGCUCCCACUCCUGUUAGAGCCACGGUCCUGUUCCCGCAGUUCUUGCCGUCAGAGCUGUCACUGUCAUCACCAAUUACUGGAAGUAUGGUGUAUGUGAUGAAAAAUCAAGCCGCUAUUGCUGCAGUCAAGACUAUAAAGAUUACCUGUAUAAAGAAGUUGGAUGGAAGAAUUUCCCCACUGUAAAAGUUUCAUGAGCAUUUUUUUUUAAAAAGACUGAAACUUUAAAAUCCCGUUAGGAAAGUAAAGACAAGAAUAAGGACAGUUACUCCAUACAAAUCUCUACAGGAUAUUUGAAGAUGAAGUUCUUGCUUCACCUGGAAAAAUCUGCAAUCUUGUUAUUUGAGAUCUCUGUUUAGAUUACUUUAUAGAUACAAGAUCAUUCAACUGCAUGAUUUUUCAUGCUUGAGAGUCUUGAUGCAUACCGUGCUGUAAUAACAGGUUCAGGAUAGAGUAUCUUUAAUUGUACAAGACUUAUAUAUUAAGCCAAGCAGACUUUCAAACUCAUUGGUCACACAACAGGGUUGGAGAAAUGAAGCACCCAGGAAUGAAAUGGCAAGUAAUAAGUUUUCCACGUCCUGGAACUUUCUAGAACUAAAUGGACUUUUCAGAGCUGAAACAGAUGAGUAAAGCUAACUCUGAUGAGUAAGGUUAACUUUGUAUUAUUCAGCCAGUAUUUAAGAACC